This 395-nucleotide ribosomal RNA is filed under the name uncultured bacterium. RNAcentral describes it as "bacterial SSU rRNA". It matches the Rfam family "Bacterial small subunit ribosomal RNA", at positions 501 to 896 of the family's 1533-position model. The record is from RNAcentral.
CGACGUGCCAGCAGCCGCGGUAAUACGGAGGUGCAAGCGUUAAUCGGAAUUACUGGGCGUAAAGCGCACGCAGGCGGUUUGUUAAGUCAGAUGUCGAAAUCCCCGCGCUCAACGUGGGAACGGCAUUUGAGACUGGCAAGCUAGAGUCUUGUAGAGGGGGUAGAAUUCCAGGUGUAGCGGUGAAAUGCGUAGAGAUCUGGAGGAAUACCGGUGGCGAAGGCGGCCCCCUGGACAAAGACUGACGCUCAGGUGCGAAAGCGUGGGGAGCAAACAGGAUUAGAUACCCUGGUAGUCCACGCUGUAAACGAUGUCGAUUUGGAGGUUGCGCCCUUGAGGGGUGGCUUCCGUAGCUAACGCGUUAAAUCGACCGCCUGGGGAGUACGGCCGCAAGGUUA